AGCAUAAUAGUUAAGCCCUUGGCUGCUAACCAAAAGGUUGGUGGUUCAAACCCACC
Molecule: transfer RNA, 56 nt
Filed under: Loxodonta africana (African savanna elephant)
Lineage: Eukaryota; Metazoa; Chordata; Mammalia; Proboscidea; Elephantidae
Rfam family: tRNA
About the family: Transfer RNA (tRNA) molecules are approximately 80 nucleotides in length. Their secondary structure includes four short double-helical elements and three loops (D, anti-codon, and T loops). Further hydrogen bonds mediate the characteristic L-shaped molecular structure. tRNAs have two regions of fundamental functional importance: the anti-codon, which is responsible for specific mRNA codon recognition, and the 3' end, to which the tRNAs corresponding amino acid is attached (by aminoacyl-tRNA synthetases). tRNAs cope with the degeneracy of the genetic code in two manners: having more than one tRNA (with a specific anti-codon) for a particular amino acid; and 'wobble' base-pairing, i.e. permitting non-standard base-pairing at the 3rd anti-codon position.
Source: Rfam by way of RNAcentral